UACGUAGGGGGCAAGCGUUAUCCGGAUUUACUGGGUGUAAAGGGAGCGCAGACGGAGGGCCAAGCCGGAUGUGAAAGCCCGCGGCCCACCCGCGGGACUGCAUUCGGAACUGGUCAUCUGGAGUACUGGAGGGGCAGGCGGAAUUCCUGGUGUAGCGGUGAAAUGCGUAGAUAUCAGGAGGAACACCGGCGGCGAAGGCGGCCUGCUGGACAGAGACUGACGUUGAGGCUCGAAGGCGUGGGGAG
This 245-nucleotide ribosomal RNA is filed under the name uncultured Stomatobaculum sp. Its description in RNAcentral is "partial 16S ribosomal RNA". It matches the Rfam family "Bacterial small subunit ribosomal RNA", at positions 524 to 768 of the family's 1533-position model. Lineage: Bacteria; Bacillati; Bacillota; Clostridia; Lachnospirales; Lachnospiraceae. The record is from RNAcentral.